Molecule: ribosomal RNA, 467 nt
Filed under: uncultured bacterium
Lineage: Bacteria
Description: partial 16S ribosomal RNA
Rfam family: Bacterial small subunit ribosomal RNA
Source: RNAcentral
GAUGAACGCUGGCGGCGCGCCUAACACAUGCAAGUCGAACGAUUAAAGCACCUUCGGGUGUGUAUAAAGUGGCGAACGGCUGAGUAACACGUGGGCAACCUGCCCCUUUCAUUGGGAUAGCCACGGGAAACCGUGGAUAAUACCGAAUACUUCGAGACUUCCGCAUGGAAGACUCGAGAAAGCUCCGGCGGAGAGGGAUGGGCCCGCGGCCUGUUAGCUUGUUGGUGGGGUAACGGCCUACCAAGGCAAUGAUGGGUAGCUGGGUUGAAAGACCGACCAGCCAGAUUGGGACUGAGACACGGCCCAGACUCCUACGGGAGGCAGCAGUGGGGAAUCUUGCACAAUGGGCGAAAGCCUGAUGCAGCGACGCCGCGUGCGGGAUGAAGGCCUUCGGGUUGUAAACCGCUUUCAGCAGGGACGAGGCGAAAGUGACGGUACCUGCAGAAGAAGCCCCGGCUAACUACGUG